Non-coding RNA from Cyanistes caeruleus (blue tit), 8351 nucleotides. The record is from RefSeq and is a predicted model, not a curated record. Lineage: Eukaryota; Metazoa; Chordata; Aves; Passeriformes; Paridae.
UAUUUAAUAUUUAAUGUCUUUCCUUAUCUUAUAAACGUGUGUGUUUGUAUAUAAAAAGUGUCAAUAUGACAUAUCUGUCAUAUGUCAUAUAGUUAAAAUGAUCAAGAGGAGGGAGCCAGCAAGACACCUUUGCUCUGGUGGUUUUCGUACUGUCAACAAUCCCUGUAGUACCUCUGAUUCAUUAGCAAUAUUUUUUAUUUUGCAAGCAAUUUAAGGCUAAUGGCUGUUAAGUAUGUAAGGUUUGUUUUUUAACUGUGAUUUAAUUAGCUAUUGAGAAACAUUAUUUUUGUAAGAGCAGAAAAUAUAGCUGUAGUGCCCAAAUAUAUACAUUUUCAUAAACUGUGUGCAUUUAGUAUUCUAUAAAAAUGUGCAAACCCUCCUCAAGUCUUCUAAUGAUUAUCUGAAGAAGUCAGAUGUCUGUGUUUUCAAUGUUAUUGAAAUUACAUUACUCUCAUAAAUAAUCUAUAAACCUCUAGCUGUAGCCUUCUUCAAGCACUUACAGCUUUUAUUAUGGCUCUUGAAAAUUAUAUAUUAAAUGAAUUUUGGUCAGUUGCUAGUAGGUUAUCCUUACCUGGGUAUCAGUACUCUUCUGAUUCAUACCUCUUUUGUUGGUUUGGAAGUUACUAUCCUUAAUGUUAGGACAGAGGAAUUUAAUAUAGUUAAUGCCACCUCACAGUUCUGAGGUUUUUGUCCUACGAUUGCAAACAAUAACUGACAUGUUGUUUAUCUUGAUUAUGAAUGAACAUCUGGAGUUUGACAUGUAGGAAGAAUUAUUUUUACUAACUGGAGUGGCAAGUGAUCUGUUCUCCAACUCACAUUCCCUCCCUCCCCACAAAAAAUAUCACGUUACAAUCUUAUAGUCCAACCCUUGGCCUGACACACACAAAAAAACCCAAAAAAAAACCAAACCAAAAAAAAAAACAACCAGUUAAAUGAAAACAAUAGUGAAACUUUUACUUUCUGAAAACAUUUGAGCCAGGCAUUAUCUGUGUCUCUACUAUAGUAGACAUAUCUCCUAUGUCUUUCUCUUAGAAUUUCAGUCUCUUUUUUCAGAUCUAGUUUAGGAAAUUUCAUCUCUUGAUAUUCAAGUAAUCUAAAUGUGAGGCUAGUGGGGUUUUAGUCCUUUUGCAAAAUAUGUAAGGUGAUGAGCAAUUACAUACAGAAAAUGUCAUUGGUUACAAAUCAUGAAUUUUCUUCAUAGCUACUUGAGUGACUUAAAAUUUAUACUUCUACACAAAUGCUUGUAAAUAAGAGAUACUUUUUUCAGAACCUUUUUUUUUAACAAAACACCUUGUGGUGUUUGAAUUUUAUGUCUAAAUCUAUUUCAAGCCUACUUAUGAAUGGAACUCCUGGAAAAUUUGAAAUCAUAGAGUCACAGAAAAUGCAAUCAGGAUUGAGUCCCACUCCUGGCCCUGCACAGGAACCCCAAGAGCCACACCGUGCCUGAGAGUGUUCAAAUACUUGAACUCUGCCAGGCUUGGUGCUGCAACCACUUACCUGAGGAGCCUGUUCCAGCGCUCAGACACCCUCUGGGUGAAGAACCUUUCCCUGAUAUCCAGCCUAAAACUCCCCUGAUACAGCUUCAUGUCAUUUCCUCGAGUCCUGUCACUGCUCAUGAAAGUGAUAGGUAAGAACAUACACAUACACUUGUAAUAUUAGUAGUUUGUUUUCACCAGAUGUCUUUGCAGGUCCCUUAAACUGAUUCAUGAUCUGCACAGUUGAGACAGAAGCUGAAAACUACUGGUCUCUAUUCCCAUAAAAUUUCUUAUGUUGGUUUGGUUUUUUUCCCUGUAUUCUUAGCCAGUAACUCCACAAACUCCACAAACUCUAAGAACUUACAGCUCUUCUCCAAAGUAAAUGGUGAUGUUCAACACAAAUUUGUUCUGUCAUGGCUCGAGCUCAGAUUCACUUGAAUUCAUAGCUUAUGGAUAGAUGUUACAAUUAACAUAGUAGUUAAUUCAUAUAGAAUCAGUUCUACUUGAUCCUUCCUAGGGAUGUAGAGAAAAGAAUACUUCUUCUUUGAGGUUUUUCAUUUGACCCUAGGCUCUACCUUUCAUUAGUUUUUUAGCUUAGUAAUAAUUAUCAUCACUUAAAACAAUACUGAUGCAGCUAAUGGAGUUUGCAAUGUGUUUGCUUUUCUUAUUGUCAAUGUGGGAUCUAAAUAACUCAGUUAUUUAACUGAGUGUAUAUGCUGAAAAAAAAGAAGAGUGCUCUUGCUCCAUUCUGCAUAGUACCAAUGCAAUUUUUGGGUAGUCUCAGUGUUAAGGGUUAGGAGUGUUUAAAUUAAAAGGAAAAAUCACAUGUUCAACUGGAACAGCUCUCAUGUGUUCUGCUGUGUAUUUUUCAGGGUCAAGCAUCUGAUUGAAAAAGCAUAUUCAUCACAGCAUUGUGAAAAUAUGCCACAUAUGAUAGUAAUUCUUACUACCAACAGAUGGUCAUUCUAACUUGCUGUUCUUGAAAAUAUUUUUAUUUUUAAACAUCCAAGUUAAUAUCAUGCAGUGUUGAAAUGGCAUUUGUUCAGUCUUGAGACAAAGAAUCUCAAAGUUUAAAAAAAUGUUUUAGUAGUCAUUCUAUACUGUUAGCACAGUAAUCUCAAUAUUUGGAAAUUGAGGAGUUAGCUUUAUUAUUAGACUCAUUUGGAAAAUAUUCACUUCCUGAAAGAUAUACUACAUAAAGUCUUGCUAUGCUAUUUAAUUUCUGAAGUAUCGAGAAAGAAUGUUAUGUAAUCUUUUACAUACCAGUUGUAAGGGGCUGUAAUUCAGCAAGCAUGGGUAAAAUUUUAAAUUAAAUGAAUACAUCUUUUUUUUCAUAUUAUUUGGAUUGUCACCUGAGAGCACUCAUUCCCCUACUGAAUUUUAAAGUUCCAGAUCCUUUUUUGAGAUUAGAGAGAUCAAUUUUCUUGAUUUUAAAAGAUUUCUUUAUUUUAAACUUCUGAUACAAUUAAAAUAUUGAUAUAAACGGGGUUUGGAGUCUUCAGAGAGGAGAAGGUUUUUGAUGGACUGUAUAAAAAUAGUAUGCCUUGCUGAAAGAGCAGAAAAAUUAAUUGGUGGCCUCAGAGCCGCAGUCAUCAGAGGACCAUGUUCCUUUCCAUGAUAGAUAUUGAAUUGUUGCUGGUCAAGCUGUUUGGAUAUUGAGGUUGAUAUUUUGCCUACAAAAGUUCCUGGAAAAAAAAAAAAACACUAAACAACUCUGAGGGCAAAAAGUAUUGUGUUAAAUGUAGUGAUGAUGAUUAAAAUGUCAGAAAAUUUACUUUUCUGUGAAAAAGGAAUUUUAGUAAACUCAAUUAAUCAAAUUUCUGAAUUUGGAAACACAGUGUUAGGAAGCCCAUUCUUGAUCCUUGUUGAUAUUGAUCAAUCAAAUCUGUCUUAUCAAUGAAUGAAGUUCAAAGCCCUCAUAUGCUGUGUAAUACCUACACUUAAGAGCAAACCUACUACUGGAAUGGGCUGCCAGGGAGAUGGUAGAGUCACCAUCCCUGAAGGUGUUUAAGAAAACACUGGACCACUCAGUGCCAUGGUCUAAUUGGUACAGUGGCAUUAGGUCAUAGGCUGGACUUGAUGAUGCCCAAAGCCUUUUCCAACCUAGUUGACUCUGUGAUUCUACAAAGGUCUCCCCUCUCUGUUGUCCCUUAGCAGUGCUGAAACAAGGCCAUUUUAGAGGUUAUUCAAUACUGUCAUUUCCCUGUUUGUGACUGUAGUAGUCUCCUCCUCAUAUUCCUUGUAUAAUCUAAGUUAAAUUUAGAUAAUUCCUUGCAACAGAAAUUAAAUAGGACCAUAGAGUUAUAAAUUUUAUUUUUAUUUUGCUUUACACUGAAUAAAGAUUUAAUUGUUUCAAAUUAAACUGCAGCCUGGUAUAGAAAAAAGUCUGGGGCUGGGAUUUUUUUGUUUGUUUCUGUUUUGUUGGGGUUUUUUUGCCAAAAAAGUAACCACUGAGAUGCCUAUUUUUUUCCUUUCAGAGUCUGGAAAAUUAACGUGAUGGGACAGGAAGCAGAAACAAAGCUGAAGCUGGAGUUGGUGGUCUUGAUCAUACCAAGAGUUGAGCAGACACAUCUCAAACACAGAAAAGGACAGCUGAGGAGUAAGCGCAGUGCAUUUAAUUUUAGGAGGAAAACAGUAUCAGAAUUUUUAGAUCUAGCUAAGCAAGGAAGAAGAUUGGUCUUGAAGUUUAGCAUUGUGUCACAAUGAGGAGAGAGCUUUUCUGUAACCACGUUGAACUAAUGUCCUUCCUUCUUGUACCUUGUUUGCCUUCAGCUGUGGCUGAAGUUGCCCUGAUUCAUGACAGCUGGUUCAGCAUUUUUUAGCUUGUGAUCACAGAUGGUUUGAGUUAACUGAUUUUGAACUAAAAAGGGGAAAAUUAGUAGUAGGAGAAAGGAAGACUAUUAUAUGGCACAGGAGGGUGUGUUGGGAAGGAUUGGUUGAUAUUCUAUAUGUUUGAAUGUUGAAAAUGGUGUGCUGCUCCGUAAUCCUACCUGUCCUUUCUAUUUGUGAGUUAAGAACAAGAAAUGGGGAUUUUGAAAAUUCUGUUAAGGUCUAAGGAGGCUGGGAACAGUCCCUUUUGGUGACAGAACAAGAGUGAGAGAAGGAAACUUUUUCUGUCUUUGUGGAGACACUUUCCUUACAGACCUGCUGGCUCUCAGGGUAUUGUUUAUUUUAACUUGGUAGGUUAUGAGUUGAGAAGUGAAUUUCAGGGGGUUUUGUUUGUUUGGGUUUUCUGUUUGUGUUGUAAGUGCAGUUAAGGCAGAAGCAGGCAGUGGUGAGGACAAAGUGUUCAGUCACUGUAAGUUGUUGUGGUCAAACAGCUGCUCCAAGUGACUCAUGAGCCAGAUGUAUUUUGCUCUUGCUGUUGAGUGUGGAGUUCUGCAAUGUACAAAAGUAAAGGCCUCAGAAUGGCAGCUUGGGUUCAGUGCUGGUCUGAGGUGGGAAUGGGAUUUUUUUGGCUCCCUACCCAAGGAAUGCAAGUGCCAGUUGUUAGUGCAACUUCUCUGUUAAGAACAGCUAUUCUAGAUAGGCUCUUAACAGGGAAUUUGAGUAGUUUUCAGCAUAUGGAUAUGCCAGAAUGAAGCUACAUUGUGGACUCUGGGACUACCAUCUGAUAUGCUAAUGAGAUACACCUUCUUGAACAAAACAAAAGAUGUGAAGUUGUUGCUGUUUUGAAUCAACUACUGUUCUUUCAGACAGCUCAGUAAUACUUGAGACCUGUCAGGCAAAAUCUGACAAAUUUGAACCAGGUAUCUUUUUGGUUUAAAGUUGCCUUUCUAGAAUAUGCAUAUGUGUUUUAAUCUUUGACAACAAAAUCUAUGUUUUUGUUGAUGUCAGGUUAUGCAGAAUUGUAAUUUAAUGAAGCUUUUUAAUAUGGACUAAGUGGAUUGUGUUUUCCUCCAUGUUUUCUGGUGGGCUGGUGUUGAGAAGUUGUUGAGCAAAUGUGUCCUGUUUUGAUGCCAUGUUUUAAAUUCUUUGCUAGAAAGCAAAAUACCAAAUAAGUUAAUAGGCAGACCACCAUGUUUUGACUCCAAGAGAACAGAACAAAAGCUUAAGAAAAUGUAGUGAUUGCAGUGUGUAUGCUCCUGGAGCUGGCUACCCAAAUAGUAUGAGGGAGCACUUCAAGAAGGCUGAGAUUGAGAAGCUUGCUGCCAGUUCUGAGGAACUCGGUGUGACUAACUGAUUUCACAUCUCUGCUGCAGGGUAUAGGAAACUGCCACCACUUUAUACACAAACCGAAAAGCAGAUCAAGAUUUACACAAGGCUGUGGUGUCAUUAAAUUAUUUCACCCACUUCCCUGCUACUAUGAUCCAGACCUGUAUCUAAAGAGAGCUGCAAAUGCCCACAGUCCUGUAUGUAGUAAAAAGUUAUGUAUUUAGUAUCAGUGCCUUCAAACACAGUUCCUUCUCCCUCAUAGUAGAAAAGGUUUUGAAGUGAGAAUUCUGUACAUGUUUGAGUCAGUAUAAACAGCUUUGCACUGGUAUUGUUCUCAUCAACAGCUGUUCAGAGAUGAGCAGAGCACCAUGUCACUGGCACAAACCUAGAUUACAUCAAGAAAGGAAGAACAAGCAGAACUGAUGCUACUUCAUCUGGAUCACCACAGCAGAUACCAUGUUAGGACCCUUCAACACUCAAAUGAGCGUUGCAUCCACAUUUGGAUUGUCUCUGUAAGAAUGCUCAGGAAAAUAAGUGUUUAAUACCUAUGCAUAAUAUAUCACUUCUGGCAUGUCAGUAUCCAAAUCUUGGUGGGUUAACCAAGCUUUUUUGAAAAUGCAUGUCCACCUAUCUCACUGCUUUUAUAUUAAUUUCUUCUAUGAUGCAGCCUUUUCUUCAAACCCUUGUGCUAGUUAAUAAUUAUAGCAAUGAUGGCUUACAUGAGUUAUCUCAAAUGUGUAUUUAAAGGAUUAGACUCCUGAUUCAAAUCAUGCUGAUUUUUACCCUUUAGAUAGUGGGGUGACUCAAAAUGCUUGUGUCAGAUGUCUUUAACCUCUCCAGCUGUCCUGCCAGUGAGGAUGAGUCAGAAGCUGCAGUCCUACAAUGAACACACCCUAAAUCUGGAAAGCUCAGCUGUUACCAUAACUGAUUUGGCAGCUUGGGACAGGAUGGGGACUGGUAUAUUACUGAGGUGACAGUAGCUUUUCCAGAGUGAGCCUGCAUCUUUCAAAGAGAGGAAAGUCUUGUUGUCUUUUUCUUAUUCUACACUGAUAGUGAAAACAGUAUUUUCCAGGGGAGCUGAGCUGAUUGAGCUAUAGUAGAGACUGUGUCCUUGAUAACUUCUGAGGCUGAUAGUAUGGAACACUUUGUUCACUUCCUACACUGGCAUGUGGGGAAAGGCGCUGAACUUGUAGAACAUGUGUGGUAUAGGAUGCGACUGGUCUGUGGUCCCUUGAGUCUUAAAGAAAGGUGUCUGGUCCAGGCAGAGAAGACUCCAUUAAGAACUGGACAUUCCCACUGAAUUCAGUGUGUGUGUAUAUAUAUGUACUCGGUCCUAAGAUAUUUAUGCUUGUGUCACUCAAUGGUGAUAAGGGGAUCUUUUAGGGAUCUUAGGCAGGAUGAUGAUGAUGAUGAUGAUAAUAAUCUGUAGUAACAAAGCUUUAUUUUCUUAGCAGCCUAUUAUAAUCAAUAUAUCAAAUAAUUUAUUGCUAUAAUGGCACUGGACUUCUAGAAGCAGAAUCAAAGUAAUCCAAUUUAGAAGUAGCCUAAUAUUGCAUUUAAAAUACAACUUAACUUGCCAUUACAGUUGUGCCCUAACUCAAGCUUAUGAUACAACCUAAUUUACAAUUACAGCUCUGUGUGCUGUUAGGCUUCCCUCAGGAUCAAUAACAGCACCUCACUGGCCGGGUGCCUGGGGCCUCCAGGGCUGGCAGGAAUGGGAGUAAUUACCCCGGCGCCCAGCAACCUUGAGGCAGGUGGGGAGGGGAAGAAAAAAAUCUUUGGUUUGUCUGCUUGGAUCACUGGACCUUUGGGGCCUGAUAAUGGGGGGAUGUGAACAAAUACAUCACCUACUUGGUUAAAGAGAGAGGCUGCUUGGCUUACAGAAUGGCAUUGGUUAUGCUAACCACAUAAUACAGGGUCAGGAGCAGGGGUACUGGUCUCAUACACAUGGAUGGUUUUGGUAACACUGCCCUGUGGAUGUCAAGUAGAAAUACCCGUCCUCACAGUGAGAGUAAGAAAAUACUUCAUAGAAAGUCAUUCUGUACAAACUGUGGUUAGAGCUUGCAGGUUGCAUUUGUGGCCUUUGCUGCCUUGAAGCUUUCCAAAGGGGAGCUCUGCACUCCAUGACCACCUGGCAACUGCAUAUAUAACAGAGUGAUUUUACUCUUUUCGAUUAGCCAUAGUUAUAAACUGCUAUGGUCAUAGAUUUUUUUUUCCCCGCUGUUCCAAAGAAACUCCACAGAUCUAACAGCAAAUUUUUUAUUGGUAUUUCUUUUAAAAUUUCAUUUAAAAUGUCAGGUCUAUAGGCAUGAUGAAAGAAUGCUUUCCUGAGACUUUGCCAAUGGUUACUAUGGCUGCAUGUUUGAGUAGAUUUGUGAUUUGGUUUUGCUUUCAGGGUAGCACUAAAACUAUUACACAAACAAUGCUUUCAUUUUGCUACCACAGUAUCUUCUACAGGCUUCAAAAGAAAUGCACGCAGGAAACAAGAUUUAGUUCUAGCAUUUUCAUUGUUAUCUUUAAAAUCUAGAUUUUACAGUAGUAAUAAUAAAAUUUCCAACUGCUUUUGAAUAUUUAUUUUUUUUUUUAGCUAGCAGGAUUUUGAGUAGUCUGCUGAAUAGAUCUGAAAAGGAACUAGUCUGUAAAGUUACUAAGCCUGAGAUCUGCUUUAGUCAGGAUCUGUUUUCAAGUACUUUAAGUACUUGAAAAUAGAAUUGUCUAGCU